This is a long non-coding RNA of Nannospalax galili (Upper Galilee mountains blind mole rat), 780 nucleotides long. RefSeq lists it as uncharacterized. NCBI's taxonomy places the organism in Eukaryota, Metazoa, Chordata, Mammalia, Rodentia, Spalacidae. The transcript is spliced from 3 exons. The record is from RefSeq and is a predicted model, not a curated record.
CUCCCAGAGACUGUGUCGUUGACUUUGUGUCUACUUUCCCCCUGCCCCCGACGGGUAAGCCCGAGACACCCAAAGGGCUAGCCAACCCCCUAGCCCCACAGCAACACAGAUGAAGGGGAACUGCUGUGCUAGAUCUUCUCCUGGUCGCUCAGGCUACUAAUUGGGUCAAAUGAGAUAUAACUGCUUCAUGGAAUGUCACUUCUGGCCUGCCAAGCACAGCAGUCUCCUGAGGACUUGGGGACUCCUGGGGAUGGGCUACAGCACACUGAAGUAGCAGGAACCAAGGACUCUGGAGGACUGCCAGAGAGUGAUACAGGGCAAAGAGAAAACCACAGUGGAUUUAGAAUCACCAUGGAAACACAACUCCUGGAGUCUAUGAGGGUGUUCCCAGAAAGGUGUAACUGAGAAGAGGCACUCUGAGUGUGGAUGGCAUCAUCCUUGGGUUGGGUUGGGGUCCUGGACUGAAUAAAAAGCAGAAAGCAAGCUGAACAUCCCCCCUUUUCUUGUGAGUGUGCAUAUGCACAGAGGGACCAGCCACCUCACGCUCCUGUCACCAUUCUUCACCCACCAUGAUGGACUGUUUCCCCUCACAUUGUAUGCUAUAAUUAACCCUUUGUAUUAGUUACUUUUCCUGUUGCUGUGUGUUGUGUGACACUUUUCCUUGGGAGACAUGACACAAACAUCUGUUCACUCCAAAUAGGGAGUAUGAUGGCUAAUCCUGGGUGUCAACUUGACUGGAUCUGGGAUUGACUGAAAUGAAAGAGAUCUUGAUUGGAUCAU